UAGACAGUGAGGAAGGCUGGAGGCCUA
This 27-nucleotide non-coding RNA is filed under the name Homo sapiens (human). The record is from RNAcentral. Lineage: Eukaryota; Metazoa; Chordata; Mammalia; Primates; Hominidae.